ACAUAAGAGGCGUCAGAUAAGUGGGUGGAACUACCAAAUGAAAAUAAACAAGAGGUGUCAGGUAAGUGGGUGGGAACUACCAAAUGAAAAUAAACACAUUGGUGUCCCUGAGUUUCUGCAAGUUACUACAUCAUUUCAUGAAAGAGGAACCAUAUGGAAAGGACAGUCAUAAAUUUGGCAGAAUUCUUCAUCAUCAAGUACUACAAUGCUCACUGCUCAGUAGAAAUUUGAGGCUGUAGAGAACUAGAGAUAUCUAGUAAUGAAUACGAACCUGCCGAAAGAGACAUACUCUACACAGAAGGGGUCACUCAAGGAAAUGGAGUAACAAUGACUUUUUCUCUUCUCUCUUUCUCUCUCUCUUUUCAUUUUUGCUGGCAGUAUUUUAAAAAAAUAUGAAAAAAAAAUAUUUCAUUUUCACUAGCUGCAAUAGCAAAAAUAUAAAAAAAAAAGAGAAAUUAUAGUGUACAAAGCUUAUUUCGUACAGAAAUAAAGAGAUUCUCGUUUUUUUAAUGGAUAAAUGACACAUGGCACUAUUUUCCUUGUGAGGGAGCAACUGAGCCGAGGCUGUUUUAGGGGUGAAGGGUGGCUUAUAAUGUGAUGGAACUGCAACUGUACAAAGGAUUAGGCACCAUGACUGAAAUGAUGUGCAAUUCCAUUUCACUGAUGAGAUGUCAGACAUGAGUGAUGCAUUGAAGCUGGUGCAAACUAUGCUAAAGUUAAAGGUUCAGGUUGAAAAAUAUUCAAUUGGGAGAAAAAACACAUAUACACAGAAACCGCUAAACUCCUGCCACAGUUUUUAGCCAUUUUGCAUAUCAACAUAAACCGCUACAUCCCUACAGCGGUUUAUGCACAUUUUCAAGUCACAUACAAACAGUGACAUCCUACCGCGGAUUAUGUGCAGUUUGGCUUCGAACGUAAUCCGCGACACUCUUGUAGCGGAUUACGUGUAUUUUGUAAACCGCAAUACCCCUGUCGCAGUUUACAUAGUUUAUGGAAAAAAUGCAUUUUGGUAUCAACUUUGAAAAAUGUGUAUUCUGG
Long non-coding RNA from Arachis stenosperma, 1038 nucleotides. RefSeq lists it as uncharacterized. NCBI's taxonomy places the organism in Eukaryota, Viridiplantae, Streptophyta, Magnoliopsida, Fabales, Fabaceae. The transcript has 3 exons. The record is from RefSeq and is a predicted model, not a curated record.